Molecule: long non-coding RNA, 420 nt
Filed under: Sorghum bicolor (sorghum)
Lineage: Eukaryota; Viridiplantae; Streptophyta; Magnoliopsida; Poales; Poaceae
Description: long non-coding RNA (SBIC_LNC015376)
Source: RNAcentral
AGAGAGACAUGGGAGUGAGGCAAAAGGGCCUCUUAUACACAGCUAAUCACAAUUAAGGAGCCUAUCAACAACAACAACAACAGGGACAAGGACCACCAUCCAUCUUACCAUGUAGGGCAAACAUGCCUUCCCAAUAAGUCAACUUCAUCACUUUCGGAUUCGAACAUGACACGACACGACACAGCGAGAUCAUUAGGUCUGCAGCAGCAGCACAAGAGGUGGGUGAAUCCAAAAAACAAAUCCAGCCAGCCCUUCAACAUCAGCUUCAUCCAUCCUGGAAAGAGGCCAUCUUUUCUUGAUAAUCCAGGAAAGUUACAUGGUUGGCUUGGAACCACUGGGUGGUCUGCUUUGUGUUUCUUGUGUGUCCUGUAUAUGUACACAAUUUGAGCAGGGUGGUGCUGAGAUGAGAUCCUCCUAGCC